GGCUGUUGUUUGCUGUAAUUGCAUUUGCUCAGCAGCUUCUACUGCCAGGCUGGAGCUUGGCCAGAGAGGAAGGUACUGGGUGCCCCACACUGCUAAUGAGCCCCUAAUGAUGGCACCUGGGGUGGGCAAUUAACCCUCCCCUCCCUGCCAGCCCCCAGCAGAGGCUUCUUGUCCUAAAGCCAAGCUGAAGGGCAAAUCUAUGGGGUUGGAUCCUCCCUCUAAUUAGACUCCUGAUAAAGCAGCUGGGACAGAAUAACUCCAAAAGGUGUAUGCAGAGGCAAAGGAAAGCCACCAGCACUUCUCACCAGCCACAAGGACAAGAGACGAUGGCCUCAAGAUGUGCCAAGAGAGGUUCAGAAUAUCUUAGUCCAGAAGCUUGGAGCUCCUCACAGCCUUGCAGCUCCUCACAGCCUGGAGAAGAAAGACAAAGAGCUGGACUGAACUGGAGUCAGCACACAACUCUGAUGACUCUUCAUACCUACAUAUUCUACAAAGUCACUCUAAAGAGAUGUGGCUGAACUCAACAAAGUCCUCAUAAUGGGACGAAGUGACACUGCAGCAGUGUGAAAUUCCAGAAGAGAAGCUUACAGGCUUCAAGGAGAAGCAAGAAGCAGCAGCUCCCUACCAGGCCAGCCAAGAGCCACAGCUUUUCUGAUACUCCUGCUGGUGGUUGGCCACACGGCUGCACAAAGCCACCACCCUGCAGAGCGUGGGCCUUGCGUCUGCCUGGGAGCCAGGUCCCAUCUGGCUGUAAUUACCAGCUUCACAUCAGCAGAAAAAUGCAAUGUUUAAACACAAAUGUUCGAUGUUUGCAUAGCAAACCCUGGGACAGAAAGCUCUUGAUAAUCAGCCUGCAGGAGAGGAGGUGGUGCUGUGCAGGUGAGCCCUGAGCUGUAUGGCAGAGUUAGAGCAGGACUCCGUGGGAC
Long non-coding RNA from Gallus gallus (chicken), 926 nucleotides. The record is from Ensembl. Lineage: Eukaryota; Metazoa; Chordata; Aves; Galliformes; Phasianidae.